AUUUGGUUUAAUGUUCUGAAAUAUUUUCUUAGACUAUUUUGUCAAUAUAUUUUUACCCUUUGUUAAUAUUUCUUUGACAUAUAACUACAAAUAUAGAUGAGUCUCCUUCCUUCCUUUUUUUUUGUUUUUGUUUUUUGAGAAGGAGUUUCACUCUUGUUGCCCAAACUGGAGUGGAGUGCAAUGGCGCAAUCUUGGCUCACUGCAACCUCCGCCUCCUGCGUUCAAGCGAUUCUCCUGCCUCAGCCUCCCGAGUAGCUGGGAUUACAGGUGUCUGCCACCAUGCCUGGCUAAUUUUGUAUUUUUAGUAGAGACGGAGUUUCUCCAUGUUGGUCAGGCUGGUCUCGAACUCCCGACCUCAGGUGAUCGCCUGCCUCAGCCUCCCAAAGUGGUGGGAUUACAGGUGUGAGCCACUGUGCCUGCCUGAUGAGUCAUCCGUUCAAGGUAUAUUUUAGAUUAUGAAUAUGUCCAUGUGAUAUGAUUUCUUUUUUCUUUUUUUUGUUUUCCUUUUUUUUUUGAGACGGAGUUUUGCUCUUGUCGCCCAGGCUGGAGUGCAGUGGCACGAUAUCAGCUCAGUGCAGCCUCCACCUCCUGGGUUCAAGUGAUUCUCCUGCCUCCACCUCCUUAGUAGCUGGCACUACAGGUGCGCACCACUAUGCUGUGCUAAUUUUUUUGUAUUAUUAGUAGAGAUGGGGUUUUGCUAUGUUGGCCAGGCUGGUCUCGAACUUCUGACCUCAGGUGAUCCACCUGUCUCAGCCUCCUAAAGUGCUGGGAUUACAGGUAUGAGCUACCACACCCAGCCCCAUGUGACAGGAUUUCUUAAAUUUGCUUCACAAUAAACCAGUCCAGAAUAGGGAUGAUGCAAAGUGGAUUGGAGUAUAAACUAGAUUUGUCCUGUUUCAAAAUGUCUAUAAUAAAAAGAAAACAAGAGAAAAGCUAUAUAUGAUACUAAGUUAUAUUUAGGUCCUUACUUUUAUUUGUUUACAUUUAAAAAUGUCUUUUAAGAAUUUCAUCUUGGUUCCUAGAUAAAAUUAUAUCAAUUAUCCUCCAUCUCAUAUACAACAUUUAGCCUAAAUUUUAAAACAUUUUAUCCCAGAGAUUAUUCACCAUAAAAUAAAUAUGGCUUGCAUUCUUGUUUUUAGGCUCCUCUUCAAUGAAAUACCAUUAAUUUGUUAAGUUUCUACUAUAUUUUAAGUUAUCAUCCUACUCGAUGGGAAUAGAAUAAUGAAUGGGAGAUAUGGUCACUGUAUUUAAGGGAAAAAAAGUAUACGCUUUUCUGUAUUCUCUUUAGAUUGUCGGUGUCCCAUCGUUCACAGUGCCUACCUAGCAUUGUACUAAUUGUAACUAUUUCUUGAAGGAAUAAUGGAAUAUUUUAGUUAUAUUAAUGAUCCUUGUAAAAUGUAUUUUAAUGGAACUUUCUUGUUUAGUUUUAUAUACUCUGAGAAGAAAUGACACUGAAAAACCAAUAGGCUUCAAUUUAUUUCCUUAUCCUCUGUCUCUGGCACUAUUGAGAUGUCAAAGAAAAAGUCUGGUGACAUUACUUUUCAAAGGAACUUUUAGAUCAGUGUUUACUUAAUGAAUCUUUGUUUAUUUUUUAACUUUUUCCAAACUAGGUAAAAUAUAAGUAAAAGAGGAUUUAAUUAUUAUUUAUUGUUUUAGCUUUCUAAUGGAAUCCCUAUAGAAAGUUGGUUUAUGGAUAAAAAUGACAAUGAACUCCUAAAAUUGAUUCCAUUCCUGGAGAAGCUUGUAGAACUGAAUGAAGAUGUUCGACCACACAUCAGAGACAGAUUUCGCUUGCAUGAUUUGCUGCCCCCAGAUUAAGUACAAAGACUUGUCAAAUCACUGAAGGGGGAGAGAAUGCAGGACCCUUUUGGACUAAGACAAAAACAUUGCCAUUACUGUUGAAAUUUUGCAUUUUUGUACCCCGUCUUGCUUUUCUUAUCUUUGGUGCCCAAUAAUAAUCAAGGGUUACAGAAAGAGACUUUAUCUAUCUCAGAUUGAAUACAUAUAGUAGGUAGGCUAAAACAGAAGAGUCUUUAGAACUAGUGCAACUCCAGUGAAAUUUUUUAUGUACAGGACAUCUGCAGUUUAUAAAGAAUUCUGUUUCUGCCACCAGCAGUUUGACCUGUAGUCACACAGGAUUUUAUGAUAAUAACAGAGAUGAAAAUGGACUUUUAUUUUCUCUCUGUUUGGUGCUCUAAGUGGGUUUGUAGCCACUUUUCUGUUACUUUAUGAUUCUCAUUUCAACAGGAAUGGCCAGUAAAAGUUGUUUUAUUUUUCCUGUUAAGGUUUAUAACCUUUUUACAUUUUUGACCUGUAUUAGAUUAGAAUUUCAUUAUGCAUUCCUUUUAGUUGAGGCGCUUCAUAGUUUUCUGGAGAUAGUCAAUUUUUAGUUUUUUAUUAUACAUUUGAAUGGCCGUUUUCCUGCUUUGUCUGCCUGCACAUUGUAUAUUUGUUUAAAAAUAUUCUCUACUUUUAGUCCAUGUAAGUUUCAUUUAGAAAGACAUGCAUUUAUAUUUUGUUUCUGUAAUAUUCUACUGUAGGUGAAAUCUUUUCAAAAAUCAAGAGACUGGGUAGAUAAGAAUAUAUGAAUGACUAAUAUACAAAAGAUUUAAACCAUUGUGAUGGCGUAUAUUCUCAAGGGUAAUAUCUUGCAAUGGCACACAGAUUUAACGGAUAAAGGUAUACCUCAGACUUCACUGUGCUCACAAAUCUUUGAGGAGAAAGUUUGGUCACCUGUUUGGCUUGAUUUAGUUACUGCUGCCUUUGGUUUUCUCCAGGAAUGAAGUAUUCAGCACAGUGACUCAGUAUUUUUAGUUAUUUUGCAUGGGCUGGUAGUACCUCUGUUAUGCUCUCAGUUACAAUCAAUUUAAAACUGUAUAACAGUCUUGGUACCUAACAGUAGCUAUGCAUAAUCCUGUGGCACAGUACACUCCCAAGCCACCAAUGCAGUUAAUAUGCUUUCAUAGUGGUUUUUCUAUGCUAUAUGAAAAUAGUCUUCAAGCCUUGGUUCUCUAAUGCAGCUACCACAAGAGGUUGAUAUUUUUAUAGUGGCGUGUAAUCUCCUUUUCGGGAGGCUUUUUAUGGAAGGUAGAAUUUGUAAAAGUUCGUAUGCUUUGCCUCUCAACUGCAUUAACAUGCCACAGGCUCAGACUGUUUUUGUGUAAAGGAUGUCAAAGAACGGCACUUUUUCUAAAGAGAAGUUUGAUAUUUUGUAUGCUUGUUAAGAAAGUACAGUAUUGGAAAUUAAAGGUGGACAACUGAUAAUUGAGGAGUAUGUCAAUUAAUUUUUUAUGUAUAUUACCUGUUUACUUGUACAACUUACUGUACAAAUUACAUGCAGCUUCAUUUUCAAAUGAAUCCUUAAAAUAAGGAAAUCUUUUUAGGAAAACAUUUAAUUUUUGUAUUUUUGAUUUUAAAGGCAUGAGUUAUGUCAAUUUUCAGUGUAUUAAUGAAGAUUUUAACUUUUCAUCAGGUUGAGUGUUUUCUUACUAUAUUAUCUGUUGUGUAUGUAGUUAGCAUAUUGUGUCACUGAACUGUUUAAAAAUCUAGCAUGUAGAGCAAGCCUGUUUUGUGGAAAAUCCUUAUUCAUU
RNAcentral lists this small RNA (3590 nucleotides) under Pongo abelii (Sumatran orangutan). Its description in RNAcentral is "retained intron". Lineage: Eukaryota; Metazoa; Chordata; Mammalia; Primates; Hominidae. The record is from RNAcentral.